RNAcentral lists this ribosomal RNA (986 nucleotides) under Burkholderia cepacia. Its description in RNAcentral is "bacterial SSU rRNA". The stretch from base 1 to 832 matches the Rfam family "Bacterial small subunit ribosomal RNA", at positions 30 to 873 of the family's 1533-position model. Lineage: Bacteria; Pseudomonadati; Pseudomonadota; Betaproteobacteria; Burkholderiales; Burkholderiaceae. The record is from RNAcentral.
UAGACGCUGGCGGCAUGCUUACACAUGCAGUCGAACGGCAGCACGGGUGCUUGCACCUGGUGGCGAGUGGCGAACGGGUGAGUAAUACAUCGGAACAUGUCCUGUAGUGGGGGAUAGCCCGGCGAAAGCCGGAUUAAUACCGCAUACGAUCUACGGAUGAAAGCGGGGGACCUUCGGGCCUCGCGCUAUANGGUUGGCCGAUUGCUGAUUAGCUAGUUGGUGGGGUAAAGGCCUACCAAGGCGACGAUCAGUAGCUGGUCUGAGAGGACGACCAGCCACACUGGGACUGAGACACGGCCCAGACUCCUACGGGAGGCAGCAGUGGGGAAUUUUGGACAAUGGGCGAAAGCCUGAUCCAGCAAUGCCGCGUGUGUGAAGAAGGCCUUCGGGUUGUAAAGCACUUUUGUCCGGAAAGAAAUCCUUGGNUCUAAUACAGNCGGGGGAUGACGGUACCGGAAGAAUAAGCACCGGCUAACUACGUGCCAGCAGCCGCGGUAAUACGUAGGGUGCGAGCGUUAAUCGGAAUUACUGGGCGUAAAGCGUGCGCAGGCGGUUUGCUAAGACCGAUGUGAAAUCCCCGGGCUCAACCUGGGAACUGCAUUGGUGACUGGCAGGCUAGAGUAUGGCAGAGGGGGGGUAGAAUUCCACGUGUUAGCAGUGAAAUGCGUAGAGCAUGUNGGAGGAAUACCGAUGGCGAAGCGCCCCCCUGGGCCCAUACUGACGCUCAUGCCGAAAGCGUGGGGAGCAAACCGGAUUGAUACCCUGGUGUCCGCCCUAACGAUGUCACUAGUGUGGGGUCCUCUCCCUUAGUACGUGUAGCGUAAGUGACGCCUGGGGUUAGGCNGCGAUAAACCAGGAUNUGGGCCCCCACGGGGGUGUGUUUUUGUGNGGAAUCUCUGGGGACCGCGGGGGGUAAAANGCCGUCGUGUUCUUUGUGCUCGGCCCUUCACGCGUGGCUCGCNGUGCGCNCUNCUUNNNGNUCNCUU